This 495-nucleotide ribosomal RNA is filed under the name uncultured bacterium. RNAcentral's name for it is "partial 16S ribosomal RNA". It matches the Rfam family "Bacterial small subunit ribosomal RNA", at positions 30 to 507 of the family's 1533-position model. The record is from RNAcentral.
UGAACGCUGGCGGCGUGCCUAAUACAUGCAAGUCGAGCGAACAGAUGAGGAGCUUGCUCCUCUGCCGUUAGCGGCGGACGGGUGAGUAACACGUGGAUAACCUACCUAUAAGACUGGGAUAACUUCGGGAAACCGGAGCUAAUACCGGAUAAUAUAUUGAACCGCAUGGUUCAAUAGUGAAAGACGGUUUUGCUGUCACUUAUAGAUGGAUCCGCGCCGCAUUAGCUAGUUGGUAAGGUAACGGCUUACCAAGGCAACGAUGCGUAGCCGACCUGAGAGGGUGAUCGGCCACACUGGAACUGAGACACGGUCCAGACUCCUACGGGAGGCAGCAGUAGGGAAUCUUCCGCAAUGGGCGAAAGCCUGACGGAGCAACGCCGCGUGAGUGAUGAAGGUCUUCGGAUCGUAAAACUCUGUUAUUAGGGAAGAACAAAUGUGUAAGUAACUAUGCACGUCUUGACGGUACCUAAUCAGAAAGCCACGGCUAACUACGUG